This 674-nucleotide ribosomal RNA is filed under the name uncultured Lachnospiraceae bacterium. Its description in RNAcentral is "bacterial SSU rRNA". It matches the Rfam family "Bacterial small subunit ribosomal RNA", at positions 61 to 736 of the family's 1533-position model. Lineage: Bacteria; Bacillati; Bacillota; Clostridia; Lachnospirales; Lachnospiraceae. The record is from RNAcentral.
GUCGAACGGGAAUUACUUUAUUGAAACUUCGGUCGAUUUAAUUUAAUUCUAGUGGCGGACGGGUGAGUAACGCGUGGGUAACCUGCCUUAUACAGGGGGAUAACAGUCAGAAAUGGCUGCUAAUACCGCAUAAGCGCACAGAGCUGCAUGGCUCAGUGUGAAAAACUCCGGUGGUAUAAGAUGGACCCGCGUUGGAUUAGCUGGUUGGUGGGGUAACGGCCCACCAAGGCGACGAUCCAUAGCCGGCCUGAGAGGGUGAACGGCCACAUUGGGACUGAGACACGGCCCAGACUCCUACGGGAGGCAGCAGUGGGGAAUAUUGCACAAUGGGGGAAACCCUGAUGCAGCGACGCCGCGUGAAGGAAGAAGUAUCUCGGUAUGUAAACUUCUAUCAGCAGGGAAGAUAGUGACGGUACCUGACUAAGAAGCCCCGGCUAACUACGUGCCAGCAGCCGUGGUAAUACGUAGGGGGCAAGCGUUAUCCGGAUUUACUGGGUGUAAAGGGAGCGUAGACGGUGUGGCAAGUCUGAUGUGAAAGGCAUGGGCUCAACCUGUGGACUGCAUUGGAAACUGUCAUACUUGAGUGCCGGAGGGGUAAGCGGAAUUCCUAGUGUAGCGGUGAAAUGCGUAGAUAUUAGGAGGAACACCAGUGGCGAAGGCGGCUUACUGGACGG